UGGAAAUCCACGGAUCAGUGCUAAGUUUGUUGCACCUUGUUACUACAUGAAUAAAGUAGAGAUAGACGCAAAACUUCCUAUAGUUGGUGAUCAGAAAUGGAAAAUAUGGAUUUGUUCCUUCAACGUGCCAAUGGCACCUGGGAAGACACGUUCAAUUGUUUGUAGCGCUCGAAACUUCUUCCAAUUAACAAUGCCAGGGCCUGCUUGGUGGCAGGUGGUUCCCAGAUGGCACGAACACUGGACUUCAAAUAAGGUGUACGAUGGAGACAUGAUUGUUCUUCAGGGUCAAGAGAAGAUCUUUCUUUCCAAAGCAAAGGAAGGUUCAACUGACGUAAAUCAAAAUUACACAAAACUCACAUUCACACCCACUCAAGCGGAUCGCUUUGUCUUAGCUUUUCGAAAUUGGCUGAGGCGACAUGGAAACAGCCAACCUGAGUGGUUUGGCUAUAGUGAUCAACAACCUUUGCCAUCAAUAAUCCUAUCAAAAGGCCAGAUGUUGGAUAGAUUUGAACAGCAUACCCAGAAAUGCUCAUCAUGUAGAAGGGCCUACACUGCAUUCCAAACAUUACAAAAAAUUUUAAUUGGUGCAACUGUGGCUUUCUCUGCUACGGCUGGGAUUCCCUCAGAUCUCCAGUUCAGGGUUUUCUUGGCCGGACUUGCAAUUUUAAGUGCCGGCUUGGCUUACAUCUUGCACCAACUGGGGAGAAAUUUUGUAUAUGUUGAUUAUGUACAUGCUGAAAUUGAAUAAGAAGACACAGAC
RNAcentral lists this unclassified non-coding RNA (760 nucleotides) under Hevea brasiliensis (rubber tree). Lineage: Eukaryota; Viridiplantae; Streptophyta; Magnoliopsida; Malpighiales; Euphorbiaceae. The record is from RNAcentral.